RNAcentral lists this ribosomal RNA (484 nucleotides) under uncultured bacterium. RNAcentral describes it as "partial 16S ribosomal RNA". It matches the Rfam family "Bacterial small subunit ribosomal RNA", at positions 30 to 507 of the family's 1533-position model. The record is from RNAcentral.
AUUGAACGCUGGCGGCAGGCCUAACACAUGCAAGUCGAGCGGAUGAAGGGAGCUUGCUCCUGGAUUCAGCGGCGGACGGGUGAGUAAUGCCUAGGAAUCUGCCUGGUAGUGGGGGAUAACGUCCGGAAACGGGCGCUAAUACUGCAUACGUCCUGAGGGAGAAAGUGGGGGAUCUUCGGACCUCACGCUAUCAGAUGAGCCUAGGUCGGAUUAGCUAGUUGGUGGGGUAAAGGCCUACCAAGGCGACGAUCCGUAACUGGUCUGAGAGGAUGAUCAGUCGCACUGGAACUGAGACACGGUCCAGACUCCUACGGGAGGCAGCAGUGGGGAAUAUUGGACAAUGGGCGAAAGCCUGAUCCAGCCAUGCCGCGUGUGUGAAGAAGGUCUUCGGAUUGUAAAGCACUUUAAGUUGGGAGGAAGGGCAGUAAGUUAAUACCUUGCUGCUUUGACGUUACCAACAGAAUAAGCACCGGCUAACUUCGUG